This 2228-nucleotide long non-coding RNA is filed under the name Sus scrofa (pig). RNAcentral describes it as "lncRNA (ENSSSCG00040039396.1)". The record is from RNAcentral. Lineage: Eukaryota; Metazoa; Chordata; Mammalia; Artiodactyla; Suidae.
ACGCCCCGCCCUGUGCGAAGGGGUCUGGGAAGUCGGGUUUUCUGCGAGCAAUAGUCGCAGCCCUCUAUCCGCUCCUUACGGGUGGCCUCAGCCUUCCUCGUUCUGCUAUAGGGUCUUGCAGUGGCUUCCGGACCUUUGAAAGAAUUAAAGCAGCAGGAACUGAGGCUGCGGAUACCUGAGGGACCUUUGUCUGAGGGGCAGGCUCUUACCCUGCAGGAGUCUUAGGGCCUCUAGCCUGCUCUUAACCCUUUCUUUUUACUGCUUUUAUCCCUUCUCCCGACUGUCCUUAGUCUGUAUCUCUGGCCUUAUUAAAAGGAAGUACAACAAGAUGAGGUAUACAAACGGGUGUUGGAUAACCAGAUGAGAAAGCUGAGGUCAGAAAAAUAAACUGAAAAGCCUGAUCUAGAAGAGAAGUGCAAGUAUCUGACGUCCAGGUUAGUGCUGUUUCUCUGGCUCAUGCCUCCAGACUUCUCUCUUAUAUCCUUACCUCCACCCUCUUUUCUCUUCCUCAACUUGUAAUUAUCGCCCAGCCUCCCAUAUUCCCUUCUACAGCCACUAUGUAGCAGGAAAAGAGACCCUUCAGAGGUCAGAGUGUUCCAAAUGGAAAGCAAAACAAGACAAAAUGCCCCAAGGGUCUUAUUUCAAUUUUAGUGAAAUUUAUAAUGAAUACAGAAAAUAUUUGCAGAUAAGCAAAAAUAAGAAACUCUUCCAAGGAUAAGUUCAGCUAUAGCACAUCUAAGAAAAUUACUGGUAGAAGUCCCCACUGUGGUGCAGUGCAUUAAGGAUCCACUGUGUUUAGCCACAGCUAUGGCGUGAGUUGAAACUUGUGUCUUGGAUUCAGUCCCUGGGCUGGGAACAUCCCUUUGCUACAGGUGCAGUGGAAAAAGAAAAUUACUGGCAAGAAGCUAUGUUGAUACAAAUAAUACCAGGUCAAAUCAGCUCCUUCUACCCUUUUGGAUAUUUUUGAAAAUGGCCAUUAUUUCCAUGAGAACAAUGCAUACUUAUUUAAGCAAAUACAAAAAAAAAAAACUUUCCAAAUCCCACAAUCCAGAGGUAACCAUUUUUUUAAAAAGUUCAUGUUAUACUCUUUCAGAUAUCUCUUAAAAAUAAAAAACACCAAGACAUAUAAAUAUGAUAUAUGAUAAACUGGAUUUUAUAAUGCACAUGGUUCUUUUCUCACUGAAUACUGUCAUGAACAAUAUCAUUUUAAAAAGUUGUGUAGUGUCUGUUAAGUGGAUGUAGUCAUUUAUCUAACUAGUAUUCUAUCAAUUCAUUUCUGUUUUUUUCAAAUGUUUACAAUUUUAAAGAACUCUGUGAUGAUCUUUUUAAUGCAUGUACCUUUGCACAGCUGUGCAACUAUCACCUUAAACAAAUUCCUAGAAGUGACAUUAAUGUCAGCCAGUUCUUCAACAUUAUCAGCUAGAAAAAAGAAAGUUGUGAUUACUUUGAAAAAUGCACUUUAUAUGUGUGAUUCAAGACAACCAGAUUCUCCCAUGUGAAAUAGACAAAUCUUGUGGUCUGUCUGGUGUAGUAUUCAGUAACAUGUAUCAAAGCUCCUUGGAGCAGGGUAGCUGGACACUGCUGGUUUUUUAAACCAAAUACUUUCUUUCUUACUAUGGGAGCUCUGAUUUUUUUCAGGGCGACAGUGUAUCCAAUUAAAAGUAAUUUACUUCCUCAGUCUCCUAUAAACCAGGUUAUCCAUGUGACCUGUCAACAAAAUGAAAGUGGAUAUUGCUAGGAGAGGUUCAAAGUUUCCUAGUAAUCAUUGGAUCUGUACCCAGAACAGCAACACAAUGCUAGAGGUGGAAUAGCCGUAUUUCAACCACAAUAACAAAAGCUCUACACGCUAUUAAUAGCAUAGGAAGCCAGAAGGGUUUAGGUUCAUAAUUGCUUUAGAAGGCCAGCUUAUCAACUAUGGACUGCCCACUUCUGGAUUUGUUUUUAUUAUAAGGGAAAAUAAAUCCCUCCUAUUUAAGGCUUUGUUGUUUCAGUUUUCUGUUGUAAGGACUGAAUGCAAUUCCUAACUGACAUAAAAAGAUAGUGAAACUCUGAGUUCCCAUCGUUGCUCAGUGGUUAACGAAUCCAACUAGGAACGAUGAGGUUGUGUGUUUGAUCCCUGGCCUUGCUCAGUGGAUUAAGGAUCCGGUGUUGCCAUGAGCGGUGGUGUAGAUUGCAGACACGCCUUGGAUCCCGAGUUGCUGUGGCUCUGGCAUAGGCCUGUGGCUACA